GCGAAGUUUAUUCGAUUAUACACCGUAGCAGUCCGUGUAAUACAAAUUUGGAUUUUUAAACGUUGGGUUUAUGAAAUGUAUGGGUAAUGCAUUUCUAUACCUACUUAAUGUUUGAUACUCAAAUUAAGCCCAAGAAUGCUUCUAAAAGAAAAAUAGUUGGAUGGAAAAAGCCUAAAAAACGGUUCAUAACGGACAAGCUAAGGAUUGUGUCAAGACUAGUAUAA
Long non-coding RNA from Uloborus diversus, 224 nucleotides. RefSeq lists it as uncharacterized. The record is from RefSeq and is a predicted model, not a curated record. The transcript is spliced from 3 exons. NCBI's taxonomy places the organism in Eukaryota, Metazoa, Arthropoda, Arachnida, Araneae, Uloboridae.